This 942-nucleotide ribosomal RNA is filed under the name uncultured archaeon. Its description in RNAcentral is "bacterial SSU rRNA". It matches the Rfam family "Archaeal small subunit ribosomal RNA", at positions 1 to 922 of the family's 1478-position model. The record is from RNAcentral.
UUCCGGUUGAUCCUGCCGGACCUUACUGCUAUCGGGGUGGGACUAAGACAUGCGAGUUGAGCGUCUCUAGCUAUGUUGAGACGCGGCAUACGGCUCAGUAACACGUGGCUAACCUACCCUCAGGACGGGGACAAACCCGGGAAACUGGGGCUAAUAUCCGAUAGGCGAGGAAUCCUGGAAUGGGUCCUCACCCAAAGGACAUUGGAAACAUGCUUUCUCUGUCGCCUGGGGAUGGGGCCGCGACCGAUCAGGUUGUUGGUGAGGUAAUGGCUCACCAAGCCUUUAACCGGUACGGGCCGUGAGAGCGGUAGCCCGGAGAUGGGUACUGAGACAAGGACCCAGGCCCUACGGGGCGCAGCAGUCGCGAAAACUCCGCAAUGCACGAAAGUGUGACGGGGCUACCCCGAGUGCCGUCCGCUGAGGAUGGCUUUUCCUUGGUGUAACUAGCCGGGGGAAUAAGGAGAGGGCAAGACUGGUGUCAGCCGCCGCGGUAAUACCAGCUCUCCGAGUGGUAGGGAUGAUUAUUGGGCUUAAAGCGUCCGUAGCCGGCUUAGCAAGUUUCCUGUUAAAUUCAGCGACCUAAUCGUUGAGCCGCGGGAAAUACUACUAGGCUAGGAGGCGGGAGAGGUCGACGGUACUUCUGGGGUAGGGGUGAAAUCCUAUAAUCCCGGGAGGACCACCAGUGGCGAAGGCUGUCGACUAGAACGCGCUCGACGGUGAGGGACGAAAGCUGGGGGAGCGAACCGGAUUAGAUACCCGGGUAGUCCCAGCUGUAAACGAUGCGGGCUAGGUGUUGGGGUGGCUACGUGCCACUUCAGUGCCGCAGGGAAGCCAUUAAGCCCGCCGCCUGGGGAGUACGGCCGCAAGGCUGAAACUUAAAGGAAUUGGCGGGGGAGCACCACAAGGCGUGAAGCUUGCGGUUCAAUUGGAGUCAACGCCGGA